This 234-nucleotide ribosomal RNA is filed under the name uncultured bacterium. RNAcentral describes it as "partial 16S ribosomal RNA". It matches the Rfam family "Bacterial small subunit ribosomal RNA", at positions 524 to 756 of the family's 1533-position model. The record is from RNAcentral.
UACGUAGGGUCCGAGCGUUGUCCGGAUUUAUUGGGUUUAAAGGGUGCGUAGGCGGAUCUUUAAGUCAGUGGUGAAAGCCUGCAGCUUAACUGUAGAACAGCCAUUGAAACUGAAGAUCUUGAAUGUGGUUAAAGUAGGCGGAAUGUAUCAUGUAGCGGUGAAAUGCUUAGAUAUGAUACAGAACACCGAUAGCGAAGGCAGCUUGCUGAACCAUUAUUGACGGCUGAGGCACGG